This is a non-coding RNA of Arachis ipaensis, 1279 nucleotides long. NCBI's taxonomy places the organism in Eukaryota, Viridiplantae, Streptophyta, Magnoliopsida, Fabales, Fabaceae. The record is from RefSeq and is a predicted model, not a curated record.
AAAAAGAGUAGCGCACAGUACACAGAAUACCUUAGCUUCGUUAUCAAUUUUAUUGACUGAAAGAGGGAAACGAUCAGGGAAACGAUCGUCGCGCAGUUCAAUAAAACCCUACCACUCUCCUCUUCACUUCCCCUUCUCUGCCGGAAUCUGACAUCAUGUUCUGCCGUGCCGUACCUCCGUUGCCCACCGCCUCUCUCCUCUUCUCGUAAUCCAUUCUUCCGCUUCUACCACCACCACCACCACCAUUAUGACCCUAAUUACUACCAUUAUUAUCAUUUAAGAAGCUCAACCCUCCCUAUCCCUCUUUCUCUCUCUCUAUUUCGACUCGGAUCUCACUCUCAUUAUCGGAUUUUCUCAUUGACCGGUCGUAAUAUUCGUCACUUUUUUAGUUGAAUAGUGAUGGCGGCGAUGCUGAAGAGCUAUAGUAGCAAUGCGUGCUUCCCUGCUUCUGGUUUCGCUGUUUUUCGCUCCAACAAUGCCACCAACGCCAGUAACAAGAGGUUAUAAUAAAAAAUAUCGAUUUUUUAUUUGCUUAAUAUGUCAUUUCUUUUAUAAAAAUAUCGUUUUUUUGGUAUCUUCUUGUGUUUGUCACUCAUAUAUGUGUUACUUAUUCUAGUUCUCAUUUCAAUGUGUAUUUAGAUGUUGACUUGAUUUUUGGUUAAUUGGUGAUUUUAUAUGUAUGACGUAAGGGACUAAGUUGAUAGGGAAAAAAAAUAAAUUUAAAUAUCUCACAUUGGAGCAAUUUGAGUAUUUGUUUUUUACUUAGUGCUCAUGUCAAUUGAUUAAUAGAUGCUCUUACUAUAGUGGGGUUUGUGAUGGUCGAUGGAUUAUGUUGUUGAGUAUUUCCUUGUUUUGAUUUGGGUUUUAUUUUGCUCUAUUAGGUGUAUACUUGCAAUGCUACCUAGUUUGUAACUUACUUUAAAAAUGGGGGUUUGCUAAAUAAGUAAAUAAUAUGAUUCUGGUUGCUGGGGUUGUAUUUAUAUUUAUUUACAUGAUUACUAAUUUGUAAUUUUUUGUUUUUCAAAUCAAGUUAACUCCUUGGGGAAUUUCUGUGUUGAACAUUUUAUCUCCUUCAACUUAUUCACUUUUAGAAACACCAUUUUUUUUUAUACUUGUUUCUUUUCAGCAUUUAGCUAAAGCCAAUCCUGACAUUGUAGUCAAAUGAGAAAUUAAACAGUGUAUGGAGCUAAAUGAGUUUAGAAGAUUUGUGAUUAUCUUAUGUUCCGAGUCUUUUUGCCUUUGUCUUAUUGUUUGGAUUUAGAAUUUUGUCAUUACUUGG